CUAAGAGACUGCCGGUGUCAAACCGGAGGAAGGUGGGGGAUGACGUCAAGUCCUCAUGGCCUUAUGACCAGGGCUACACACGUACUACAAUGGCAGGUACAAAGGGCAGCCACUUAGCGAUAAGGCGCGAAUCCCGUAAAACCUGUCUCAGUCCGGAUUGGAGUCUGCAACUCGACUCCAUGAAGUUGGAAUCGCUAGUAAUCGCAGAUCAGCACGCUGCGGUGAAUACGUUCCCGGGCCUU
Molecule: ribosomal RNA, 242 nt
Filed under: uncultured Desulfocapsa sp.
Lineage: Bacteria; Pseudomonadati; Thermodesulfobacteriota; Desulfobulbia; Desulfobulbales; Desulfocapsaceae
Description: partial 16S ribosomal RNA
Rfam family: Bacterial small subunit ribosomal RNA
Source: RNAcentral